AGGACGAACGCUGGCGGCGUGCUUAACACAUGCAAGUGGAGCGACGAACCAGGGCUUGCCCUGGGGCAGAGCCGCGAACGGGUGAGUAACACGUGGGUUACCUGCCUCAAUGACCGGGACAACCCGAGGAAACUCGGGCUAAUACCGGAUGUGCCCGCAAGGGGAAAGGAAGCUUCGGCCUCCGCAUUGAGAUGGGCCCGCGGCCCAUUAGCUUGUUGGUGAGGUAACGGCUCACCAAGGCUUCGAUGGGUAGCUGGUCUGAGAGGACGAUCAGCCACACUGGGACUGAGACACGGCCCAGACUCCUACGGGAGGCAGCAGUGGGGAAUCUUGCGCAAUGCGCGAAAGCGUGACGCAGCAACGCCGCGUGGGGGAAGAAGGCUUUCGGGUUGUAAACCCUUUCAGUUGGGACGAAGCUUCGGCGGUUAAUAGCUGUCUGGAGUGACGGUACCUUCACAAGAAGCACCGGCUAACUACGUGCCAGCAGCCGCGGU
Molecule: ribosomal RNA, 494 nt
Filed under: uncultured bacterium
Lineage: Bacteria
Description: SSU rRNA
Rfam family: Bacterial small subunit ribosomal RNA
Source: RNAcentral